UGAGUAGCUUGCUAUGAGCUGUUUUAGCGGCGGACGGGUGAGUAACGCGUGGGUAACCUGCCUCAUACAGGGGAAUAACAGUUGGAAACGGCUGCUAAAACCGCAUAAGCGCACGGUAUCGCAUGAUACAGUGUGAAAAACUCCGGUGGUAUGAGAUGGACCCGCGUCUGAUUAGCUAGUUGGCAGGGCAACGGCCUACCAAGGCGACGAUCAGUAGCCGACCUGAGAGGGUGACCGGCCACAUUGGGACUGAGACACGGCCCAAACUCC
RNAcentral lists this ribosomal RNA (270 nucleotides) under uncultured Lachnospiraceae bacterium. Its description in RNAcentral is "partial 16S ribosomal RNA". It matches the Rfam family "Bacterial small subunit ribosomal RNA", at positions 68 to 339 of the family's 1533-position model. The record is from RNAcentral. Lineage: Bacteria; Bacillati; Bacillota; Clostridia; Lachnospirales; Lachnospiraceae.